RNAcentral lists this ribosomal RNA (252 nucleotides) under uncultured bacterium. RNAcentral describes it as "partial 16S ribosomal RNA". It matches the Rfam family "Bacterial small subunit ribosomal RNA", at positions 524 to 776 of the family's 1533-position model. The record is from RNAcentral.
UACGUAGGGAGCAAGCGUUAUCCGGAUUUAUUGGGUUUAAAGGGUGCGUAGGCGGGCUUUUAAGUCAGCGGUAAAAAUUCGGGGCUCAACCCCGUCCGGCCGUUGAAACUGGGGGCCUUGAGUGGGCGAGAAGAAGGCGGAAUGCGUGGUGUAGCGGUGAAAUGCAUAGAUAUCACGCAGAACCCCGAUUGCGAAGGCAGCCUUCCGGCGCCCUACUGACGCUGAGGCACGAAAGUGCGGGGAUCGAACAGG